UAGGGAAUCUUCGGCAAUGGACGAAAGUCUGACCGAGCAACGCCGCGUGAGUGAAGAAGGUUUUCGGAUCGUAAAACUCUGUUGGUAGAGAAGAACGUUGGUGAGAGUGGAAAGCUCAUCAAGUGACGGUAACUACCCAGAAAGGGACGGCUAACUACGUGCCAGCAGCCGCGGUAAUACGUAGGUCCCGAGCGUUGUCCGGAUUUAUUGGGCGUAAAGCGAGCGCAGGUGGUUUAUUAAGUCUGGUGUAAAAGGCAGUGGCUCAACCAUUGUAUGCAUUGGAAACUGGUAGACUUGAGUGCAGGAGAGGAGAGUGGAAUUCCAUGUGUAGCGGUGAAAUGCGUAGAUAUAUGGAGGAACACCGGUGGCGAAAGCGGCUCUCUGGCCUGUAACUGACACUGAGGCUCGAAAGCGUGGGGAGCAAACAGGAUUAGAUACCCUGGUAGUCCACGCCGUAAACGAUGAGUGCUAGAUGUAGGGAGCUAUAAGUUCUCUGUAUCGCAGCUAACGCAAUAAGCACUCCGC
RNAcentral lists this ribosomal RNA (525 nucleotides) under uncultured bacterium. RNAcentral's name for it is "partial 16S ribosomal RNA". It matches the Rfam family "Bacterial small subunit ribosomal RNA", at positions 355 to 872 of the family's 1533-position model. The record is from RNAcentral.